RNAcentral lists this ribosomal RNA (687 nucleotides) under Cylindrospermopsis raciborskii. Its description in RNAcentral is "bacterial SSU rRNA". It matches the Rfam family "Bacterial small subunit ribosomal RNA", at positions 97 to 817 of the family's 1533-position model. The record is from RNAcentral. Lineage: Bacteria; Bacillati; Cyanobacteriota; Cyanophyceae; Nostocales; Aphanizomenonaceae.
GGCGGACGGGUGAGUAACGCGUGAGAAUCUGGCUCCAGGUCGGGGAUAACAGUUGGAAACGACUGCUAAUACCGGAUGUGCCGAGAGGUGAAAGAUUUAUUGCCUGGAGAUGAGCUCGCGUCUGAUUAGCUAGUUGGUGGUGUAAGGGACCACCAAGGCGUCGAUCAGUAGCUGGUCUGAGAGGAUGAUCAGCCACACUGGGACUGAGACACGGCCCAGACUCCUACGGGAGGCAGCAGUGGGGAAUUUUCCGCAAUGGGCGAAAGCCUGACGGAGCAAUACCGCGUGAGGGAGGAAGGCUCUUGGGUCGUAAACCUCUUUUCUCAAGGAAGAAGAAAGUGACGGUACUUGAGGAAUAAGCAUCGGCUAACUCCGUGCCAGCAGCCGCGGUAAUACGGAGGAUGCAAGCGUUAUCCGGAAUGAUUGGGCGUAAAGGGUCUGCAGGUGGAACUGAAAGUCUGCUGUUAAAGAGUUUGGCUUAACCAAAUAAAAGCGGUGGAAACUACAGAACUAGAGUGCGGUAGGGGCAAAAGGAAUUCCUGGUGUAGCGGUGAAAUGCGUAGAUAUCAGGAAGAACACCGGUGGCGAAAGCGUUUUGCUAGACCGUAACUGACACUGAGGGACGAAAGCUAGGGGAGCGAAUGGGAUUAGAUACCCCAGUAGUCCUAGCCGUAAACGAUGGAUACU